CAAUAGCGUAUAUUAAAGUUGUUGCAGUUAAAAAGCUCGUAGUUGGAUUUCUGGUUGGAGCGACCGGUCGGGCAUUGAUUUGUCUGCACUGGAGUCGGUUCUGGCCAUCCUCUUGGAAAGUGCGUCUGUCAUUAAGUUGUCGGGCGUAUGAUCCAGGUCUUUUACUGUGAAAAAAUUAGAGUGUUUAAAGCAGGCCUUCGCCUUGAAUACAUUAGCAUGGAAUAAUAAGAUAGGACUUUGGUCUAUUUUGUUGGUUUGCAGACCGAAGUAAUGAUUAAUAGGGAUAGUUGGGGGUAUUUAUAUUCCAAUGUCAGAGGUGAAAUUCUUAGAUUUUUGGAAGAUAAACUUAUGCGAAAGCAUUUACCAAGGAUGUUUNCAUUA
RNAcentral lists this ribosomal RNA (381 nucleotides) under uncultured eukaryote. RNAcentral's name for it is "partial 18S ribosomal RNA". It matches the Rfam family "Eukaryotic small subunit ribosomal RNA", at positions 592 to 975 of the family's 1831-position model. The record is from RNAcentral.